RNAcentral lists this ribosomal RNA (482 nucleotides) under uncultured bacterium. Its description in RNAcentral is "SSU rRNA". It matches the Rfam family "Bacterial small subunit ribosomal RNA", at positions 26 to 523 of the family's 1533-position model. The record is from RNAcentral.
AGGAUCAACGCUGGCGGCGUGCCUAAUGCAUGCAAGUCGAACGUGCGGCCUUCGGGUCGAGGCGUGGCGGACGGGUGAGGAACGCGUGGGCAAUCUGCCCUACAGGUGGGGGGUAGCCUUCGGAAAACGGAGGGUAAUUCCGCAUGUGCUCAUUGGCUGGUGGGGCUGAUGAGGAAAGGGUCUUCGGACUCGCCUGAGGAGGAGCCUGCGGCCGAUUAGCUAGUUGGUGGGGUCACGGCUCACCAAGGCGAUGAUCGGUAGCUGGUCUGAGAGGACGGCCAGCCACAUGGGGACUGAGACACGGCCCCAACUCCUACGGGAGGCAGCAGCAAGGAAUUUUCCGCAAUGGGGGAAACCCUGACGGAGCAACGCCGCGUGUGGGAUGACGCUUUUCGGAGUGUAAACCUACUUUUCUUAGGGACGACGAGCGACGGUACCUGAGGAAGAAGGACCGGCUAACUACGCGCCAGCAGCCGCGGUAA